AUCCUCAAAUCUGAUUGGAAGCCUACGACUUCAUCAGGAUGCUAGCACCCUUGCAAAAGAUACUUUUUGAUGGUUGAUACUGCUGAUCUCCAUCAAUCUCUCAGACUCUCUAAGAAAAAUAGUGUAGAAGAGGAAAAAGAGGAAGAGGAAUAAUAGGGAGAUGUUCUCUGUAUUUUUCCCUCAUCUUGAAAUCCCAUGCCACAGAUCUAACUUGUGCGCAAUUCAGAAGACCCCUCACCCUCUGUUUUUCAUGC
RNAcentral lists this long non-coding RNA (254 nucleotides) under Elaeis guineensis (African oil palm). Its description in RNAcentral is "long non-coding RNA (EGUI_LNC018500)". The record is from RNAcentral. Lineage: Eukaryota; Viridiplantae; Streptophyta; Magnoliopsida; Arecales; Arecaceae.